RNAcentral lists this ribosomal RNA (486 nucleotides) under uncultured archaeon. Its description in RNAcentral is "bacterial SSU rRNA". It matches the Rfam family "Archaeal small subunit ribosomal RNA", at positions 875 to 1359 of the family's 1478-position model. The record is from RNAcentral.
AGCACCACAAGGGGUGAAGCCUGCGGUUCAAUUGGAGUCAACGCCGGAAAUCUUACCGGGGGCGACAGCAGAGUGAAGGUCAAGCUGAAGACUUUACCAGACAAGCUGAGAGGAGGUGCAUGGCCGUCGCCAGCUCGUGCCGUGAGGUGUCCUGUUAAGUCAGGUAACGAGCGAGAUCCCUGCCUCUAGUUGCUACCAUUAUUCUCAGGAGUAGUGGAGCUAAUUAGAGGGACCGCCGUCGCUGAGACGGAGGAAGGUGGGGGCUACGGCAGGUCAGUAUGCCCCGAAACCCUCGGGCCACACGCGGGCUGCAAUGGUAAGGACAAUGAGUUUCGAUUCCGAAAGGAGGAGGCAAUCUCUAAACCUUACCACAGUUAUGAUUGAGGGCUGAAACUCGCCCUCAUGAAUAUGGAAUCCCUAGUAACCGCGUGUCACUAUCGCGCGGUGAAUACGUCCCUGCUCCUUGCACACACCGCCCGUAAUCAC